GAUGAACGCUGGCGGCGUGCCUAAUACAUGCAAGUCGAGCGAACAGACGAGGAGUUUGCUCCUUUGACGUUAGCGGCGGACGGGUGAGUAACACGUGGGUAACCUACCUAUAAGACUGGGAUAACUUCGGGAAACCGGAGCUAAUACCGGAUAAUAUUUCGAACCGCAUGGUUCGAUAGUGAAAGAUGGCUUUGCUAUCACUUAUAGAUGGACCUGCGCCGUAUUAGCUAGUUGGUAAGGUAACGGCUUACCAAGGCAACGAUACGUAGCCGACCUGAGAGGGUGAUCGGCCACACUGGAACUGAGACACGGUCCAGACUCCUACGGGAGGCAGCAGUAGGGAAUCUUCCGCAAUGGGCGAAAGCCUGACGGAGCAACGCCGCGUGAGUGAUGAAGGUCUUCGGAUCGUAAAACUCUGUUAUUAGGGAGGAACAAAUGUGUAAGUAACUGUGCACGUCUUGACGGUACCUAAUCAGAAAGCCACGGCUAACUACGUGCCAGCAGCCGCGGUAAUACGUAGGUGGCAAGCGUUAUCCGGAAUUAUUGGGCGUAAAGCGCGCGUAGGCGGUUUUUUAAGUCUGAUGUGAAAGCCCACGGCUCAACCGUGGAGGGUCAUUGGAAACUGGAAAACUUGAGUGCAGAAGAGGAAAGUGGAAUUCCAUGUGUAGCGGUGAAAUGCGCAGAGAUAUGGAGGAACACCAGUGGCGAAGGCGACUUUCUGGUCUGUAACUGACGCUGAUGUGCGAAAGCGUGGGGAUCAAACAGGAUUAGAUAUCCUGGUAGUCCACGCCGUAAACGAUGAGUGCUAAGUGUUAGGGGGGUUCCGCCCCUUAGUGCUGCAGCUAACGCAUUAAGCACUCCGCCUGGGGAGUACGACCGCAAGGUUGAAACUUAAAGGAAUUGACGGGGACCCGCACAAGCGGUGGAGCAUGUGGUUUAAUUCGAAGCAACGCGAAGAACCUUACCAAAUCUUGACAUCUUUUGACCCUUCUAGAGAUAGAAGUUUCCCCUUCGGGGGACAAAGUGACAGGUGGUGCAUGGUUGUCGUCAGCUCGUGUCGUGAGAUGUUGGGUUAAGUCCCGCAACGAGCGCAGCCCUUAAGCUUAGUUGCCAUCAUUAAGUUGGGCACUCUAAGUUGACUGCCGGCGACAAACCGGAGGAAGGUGGGGAUGACGUCAAAUCAUCAUGCCCCUUAUGAUUUGGGCUACACACGUGCUACAAUGGACAAUACAAAGGGCAGCGAAACCGCGAGGUCAAGCAAAUCCCAUAAAGUUGUUCUCAGUUCGGAUUGUAGUCUGCAACUCGACUACAUGAAGCUGGAAUCGCUAGUAAUCGUAGAUCAGCAUGCUAUGGUGAAUACGUUCCCGGGUCUUGUACACACCGCCCGUCACACCACGAGAGUUUGUAACACCCGAAGCCGGUGGAGUAACCAUUUGGAGCUAGCCGUCGAAGGUGGGACAAAUGAUUGGGGUGAAGUCGUAACAAGGUAGCCGUAUCGGAAGG
This 1503-nucleotide ribosomal RNA is filed under the name uncultured bacterium. Its description in RNAcentral is "bacterial SSU rRNA". It matches the Rfam family "Bacterial small subunit ribosomal RNA". The record is from RNAcentral.